This is a long non-coding RNA of Boleophthalmus pectinirostris (great blue-spotted mudskipper), 1796 nucleotides long. RefSeq lists it as uncharacterized. The record is from RefSeq and is a predicted model, not a curated record. The transcript has 5 exons. Lineage: Eukaryota; Metazoa; Chordata; Actinopteri; Gobiiformes; Gobiidae.
ACUACUAAAUCUUAUGAGCAACACAAUGAAUAAAAAUAAGAUAAGUGCAACAAAUUUGCGAUAUACAAACUUCGAACUGCGUUAAAAAUAUAAUAAAUUAAAAUAAUGCUUGCUGGAAAAAAAUAGCUAACAUGUCUAUCACAGUAUUGUUAUUCAUGCAAAAACUAGCUCGUAUUCUCUUUCAAAUGCGCUAUUACAAUUACGGUUGCCAUCUUAUUCUGUGAGUUUUUUUUAACGUAUUAUUAUACCAUCAUGCAAAGACAACAGCAACAACAUUAAAAAAAGUAGGGCAUACAUGCAUACAAUCAUAACAAAUACAUAACAUAACAUUUAUGAGUCUGCAUCCAUUGCACCAUUGUUCACAACCAUAGAUUAACUGUAUAAAUAAGUAAAACAAAUGAAACAUGAAAUUUGGCUUUGUAUAACCAAUAGUCACAGUGACUAAACAGAAGAUAUGAGGCACGAUGUGUUCCACUUCAUAUAACUGAUGUAUCCAUAUUGAUUGUGUCCAUGUUGUCAUACUUUAUUUCUAGAACUGAAUAACUGCAUUUCCAUGAAUGAAGAGCAGCCCUCGACCCCUCCUCUCGGGCUGAAGCUUCCUCCACUCCUGUGAAUAAGGAAAUAAAGCAUGAUGAUCUCCUUCGUAAAGUUUUCAUUACAGUUGCAUUCAAAUCAAAUUUUCUAUUAAAAGUGUAGAAUUGCUACGUUUAUUAUACUAGUAUUACAUAAUUCCCUGCAAAGAACACAUUUUUAAAUAAACCUGCUAGCUGUAACACCUCUGUCAACAAAUGUCCACACAACAAAUAGAAAUAUUAAUCAAACAUUUUAACUUAACUUUUUGUUUUUUGUUAUUGUUUAUUGUUUUAUAUCCCCAUGUAGAGGACUCGCCGUGCUUACCUAGUGGCUAGAUAAUAUAUCUGCGUGAAGUUGACCAGUUUUGGAUUUCCGAUGCCCUCUUCAGUGUGAGAAUACAGAGUUGAUUCGUGUAGGACUUCACUAAGGGCACACAUAGCCUCCUGUCCCACAGCAGUGCCCUCAUGGACAGGGUCAAUCAGCUCACACACAGUAUCUGGGGAAAGAAGCUCCUGAACUGCACAACUAACAAAAUAUACAGGCAAGCUCUUGGCAUUGAAUAACUUUGAUAAUGAAGAGGUAUGGGAUACUGAUGCUUUUCCAACUCCAUAAAACUGUGUUCAAAGGAGGUGAAAGAGGAGCCCUGUAUGCCACUGUGGUAAGGAGCACCCUGCAGACAUGACUUGAGAAAAUGAGCCCAGAACAGAGUGAUGGAUCCAUUAGUGCCUAUAAUGAAGAGUGGCGGUUGCAUUCACCCGGGAGCAUUUGGAAACCCUCAGAUUUGAGCCAAAAUCUGCCUGUUUUCCGAUGAUUGAACUUGCUGACCCUUUGCCAGUCCAUUCCCUUCAGAGAAUCGUCAUGGUGACAGAGGAGGAGACUGUAAUGAAGGCUGGGGGCCCAAACAUCAAACAUAAUUUAGGAUCGCAGAGGGGAGAUGCUAACACGAGGAGGCACCACCCAAAGGACAGAGCUAAAGAUGGAUGAGUGUACUGCACACUGGGGAGGAGGGUCAAAUAUUUGAGGUUUGUUUUGCAAAGUGGAUUCCUCUUUGUUCUUCUUGUAUGGAAAUGGGUUCUGUAUUGGUUUUGGUACUCAUGGGUUGUUGAAGGAUGGGUCAAAUGCAGAGGACGAAUUUCCCAAUAGUAAACAAACAUUACAAAGUAUUACAAAAUCCCUUUAACAACUUUUUGAACUGAACCUUUUACCCUCAGUUCAGUAGAGAU